GCAUAUGGGUGUUUUGUCUGUCUGUAUGUCUGCACACCAGACGAGGGCAUUGGAUUCCAUGGACCCGCAGUUAUGCACAGUUAUGAGCCUCACGUUGGUGCUGGGAAUUGAAACCAAGGCCUCUCAAAGAGCAACCACUGAGCGGUCUCCUUAGCCCCUGCUUUCCUCUUUCUGCCACAUAGUUCCCAGGACUAGAACUCAGGACGUCUGACUCAGCAGCAAACAGUCUUGCCAGCCCCCUUCCCUGGGAGCUUCCUGAGGCCCAGAUUGACCCCCCCACCCCCCAGCCGGUUCCCAGUAAUUACGUGAUAAUCAGUACGGUUUCCAAAUCAUGGGCCAACAGUUUCUCUCUCUUCCAGGUGGGAAGUGUAGACAGUUCUCUCAGUUAUGCCUGAAUCGCCACAGGUGAGUGGGAGCCAGCACCCUGAUGGGCACCCCAACUGGAGCCGCCAUACCAUACCAGUUCACCACCCCUGCCUCCCUCCCUCUGCUCCAAGAGCCAACAGAGUGGUCAACAUAAAUGGAUCCUCAAAGGAAGAGGCCACCGGAGGGAGCCAGGCCUAAGGCUAAAUGGUCUUCCCACCCUGAGGAGAGAGGUCUCCCCAGGCACUGCUGUGAUCCUGCCUAUCCUGUUCAGAUAAAUCCACAUGGUCUCUCUUCCGUGGC
Molecule: long non-coding RNA, 666 nt
Filed under: Rattus norvegicus (Norway rat)
Lineage: Eukaryota; Metazoa; Chordata; Mammalia; Rodentia; Muridae
Description: long non-coding RNA NONRATT002529
Source: RNAcentral